This is a long non-coding RNA of Drosophila biarmipes, 299 nucleotides long. RefSeq lists it as uncharacterized. The record is from RefSeq and is a predicted model, not a curated record. The transcript has 3 exons. NCBI's taxonomy places the organism in Eukaryota, Metazoa, Arthropoda, Insecta, Diptera, Drosophilidae.
GCGUGCUGCGUGCUUCUUGCUGCCUGCUGCGUGGUCCGUGCCCUGUGGAAUGUGCCAGCCGACGAAGUCGCGCUCACUUCCGUCGGAGUUGUUAUCAACUCUGGGAACUCCGCGCGGGAACUUCAGGUGGAUUACAGCUCACGAUCCGCACCAACGCCCAACCAAAGAGUAUGGAUCUACAUAGGGAGCGAGUGAGCCUGGUAGAUUUGUCGGAAAGUAUAUAACAGGUUUUGCAACGCAACGCAAAAGGUUUGAAAGGAUAACGGGCGAGAAGGUGCUAAACCCUUUGACUCAACCGA